UACGAAGGGGGGCUAGCGUUGCUCGGAAUCACUGGGCGUAAAGCGCACGUAGGCGGAUCUUUAAGUCAGGGGUGAAAUCCCAAGGCUCAACCUUGGAACUGCCUUUGAUACUGGGGGAUCUCGAGUCCGGAAGAGGUUGGUGGAACUGCGAGUGUAGAGGUGAAAUUCGUAGAUAUUCGCAAGAACACCAGUGGCGAAGGCGGCCAACUGGUCCGGUACUGACGCUGAGGUGCGAAAGCGUGGGGAGCAAACAGGG
Molecule: ribosomal RNA, 256 nt
Filed under: uncultured bacterium
Lineage: Bacteria
Description: partial 16S ribosomal RNA
Rfam family: Bacterial small subunit ribosomal RNA
Source: RNAcentral